Molecule: small RNA, 162 nt
Filed under: Arabidopsis thaliana (thale cress)
Lineage: Eukaryota; Viridiplantae; Streptophyta; Magnoliopsida; Brassicales; Brassicaceae
Description: ATSL248880
Rfam family: Small nucleolar RNA U54 (bases 57-144)
About the family: U54 is a C/D box small nucleolar RNA, which acts as a methylation guide for 18S ribosomal RNA in plants.
Source: RNAcentral
UGAAUCUUCAAAUCUUGGUUUUGUAUUAGAAAAACAAUGAGAACUCUUUGGUUUUUGGCUCUGUGAUUGCUUCGCCUUAUUGGCAAUAUACGCUAUUCUGAAAUCAGAGUAUGAAAGAUAAACAAACUGUACUUUAUGAGAGCCCAAUCGAAUAGUUAUUUU